CCAACUAAAAGGUUCACCACAACAGCCACCCCAGAGAACCGGGAUCAUACAAUGGAAAAUCUCAUCAGGAUGGGGAUGGCUGUCCUGGUCCUCAUAGUCCUUUCAAUUCUAGCUGCUGAGGCCUGGCAGAGCCAAAGACAGUCCCACCAUGCAGCUGGCAAAUAAUAUAAAGAGAAAGACAUACAUCUUUCAAUGAUGUACACUCUUGGAAAUGAAUCUGAUGAUCCAAAA
Molecule: long non-coding RNA, 231 nt
Filed under: Rattus norvegicus (Norway rat)
Lineage: Eukaryota; Metazoa; Chordata; Mammalia; Rodentia; Muridae
Description: long non-coding RNA NONRATT000311
Source: RNAcentral